GUUCCGGGGUGCUUGUGUGUGCAGGCUGAGAGUAAACCAAAAGGUUUUAACCCGUUGACCUGAUUUGGAUAAUGCCAACGUAGGGAAACA
Molecule: non-coding RNA, 90 nt
Filed under: chicken gut metagenome
Description: TPP riboswitch (THI element)
Rfam family: TPP riboswitch aptamer (THI element)
About the family: Vitamin B(1) in its active form thiamin pyrophosphate (TPP) is an essential coenzyme that is synthesised by coupling of pyrimidine and thiazole moieties in bacteria. The previously detected thiamin-regulatory element, thi box was extended, resulting in a new, highly conserved RNA secondary structure, the THI element, which is widely distributed in eubacteria and also occurs in some archaea.
Source: RNAcentral